This 239-nucleotide ribosomal RNA is filed under the name uncultured bacterium. RNAcentral describes it as "partial 16S ribosomal RNA". It matches the Rfam family "Bacterial small subunit ribosomal RNA", at positions 15 to 244 of the family's 1533-position model. The record is from RNAcentral.
GAUCCUGCUCAGGAUGAACGCUAGCUACAGGCUUAACACAUGCAAGUCGAGGGGAAACGAUAUUGGAAGCUUGCUUCCGAUAGGCGUCGACCGGCGCACGGGUGAGUAACGCGUAUCCAACCUGCCCACCACUUGGGGAUAACCUUGCGAAAGUAAGACUAAUACCCAAUGAUAUCUCUAGAAGACAUCUGAAAGAGAUUAAAGAUUUAUCGGUGAUGGAUGGGGAUGCGUCUGAUUAG